Loxodonta africana (African savanna elephant) is the source of this 74-nucleotide transfer RNA. It matches the Rfam family "tRNA". From Rfam's summary of the family: Transfer RNA (tRNA) molecules are approximately 80 nucleotides in length. Their secondary structure includes four short double-helical elements and three loops (D, anti-codon, and T loops). Further hydrogen bonds mediate the characteristic L-shaped molecular structure. tRNAs have two regions of fundamental functional importance: the anti-codon, which is responsible for specific mRNA codon recognition, and the 3' end, to which the tRNAs corresponding amino acid is attached (by aminoacyl-tRNA synthetases). tRNAs cope with the degeneracy of the genetic code in two manners: having more than one tRNA (with a specific anti-codon) for a particular amino acid; and 'wobble' base-pairing, i.e. permitting non-standard base-pairing at the 3rd anti-codon position. NCBI's taxonomy places the organism in Eukaryota, Metazoa, Chordata, Mammalia, Proboscidea, Elephantidae. The record is from Rfam.
CCCUGGGUGGUGCAAACGGUUAACAUGCUCAGCUGCUAACUGAAAGGUUGAUGGUUCAAGUCCACCCAGAGGUG